This 359-nucleotide RNase P RNA is filed under the name insect gut metagenome. RNAcentral's name for it is "Bacterial RNase P class B". It matches the Rfam family "Bacterial RNase P class B". From Rfam's summary of the family: Ribonuclease P (RNase P) is a ubiquitous endoribonuclease, found in archaea, bacteria and eukarya as well as chloroplasts and mitochondria. Its best characterised activity is the generation of mature 5'-ends of tRNAs by cleaving the 5'-leader elements of precursor-tRNAs. Cellular RNase Ps are ribonucleoproteins. The record is from RNAcentral.
UUUUGGGUAAUCGCGGUUAGUAUAUUGCUAGCUGAGGAAAGUCCAUGCUCACAUUCGCUGAAAUGCGAAUAGUGUUCGUGCUUGACCUAAUAAGUCAAGGUACAUAAUUAAUGUAACGGCGGAUCGACUAGCUAAGGAAUUUUUAUAUUCUAUGUUAGCUUCCAUAAAGUGCCACAGAGACGAGUUAUAAAGAAAUUUAUAAGUGGAACGGGUAAACCCCACGAGUGAGCAACCCAAACUACGGUAGGGGCAUGUUGAUCGAGGAAUCAAACUUAGGUCAAUAUCGUUAAAGCGAAGACAGAUGGUUACCGAAAAAAAUAUUCCGCUGAAAUAUUUUUGGAACAGAACAUGGCUUAUAG